CAGCCGUUGAAUGGAUGGAAUGAAACGAGGGGUGAGGAGUCUUUUUCUGAUGCUGUAAUAAUUUUCAGCGUAAAAGUCAUCCUCCAACACUCGCGAACACUCGUGCUGUUUCUGGUGGGGUUGAUCGGACAUACAACCGUUGCAUGUGUCAGUGAGGUACUUGUUGAUUACGAGGUUGACAAGAUGAUACACAGCAGUUUUCACGGUAUCGAUGAACAAAGAAAAUGCCCAACCGUCAAGCUCGUCCGCUUGCUGCUGCUUUUCCAAGGGUCGAUAGUAACCGGACGUGUCAGGUAAUAUUGUGCCCUCGUCCGCAGAACUUUCCUCCUCCUCCGCAGGGUGGCGCAGGGCUGUAGAGGCCAUACUUCUCUCUGUUUUUGAGCUAAAAAAAAAAAAAAAAAAAGGUUUGAAGGAAUGAGACGGCGGUCUUCUUUUUAAAUAACAGAAGAGGGCGUGGUCUGGAAGUGGGUUGAUCUUAAAGGGUGCGCGUAGGUGUGGCAGCUAUUUUCAAAAACCGUAGAGUUGGCCACUGCGUCUCUAGCAGCUGUAACUUUGGAAAAGAACGGUAAUUCCCAUCUGUUGGGCUUGAAAUUCUCCAUGAAAAUGGCAUCUUCCAGCCCUUCUGCUCAAUCAACCAUCAGAGUGACAGAACUUGGUACAUAUUUGGUACUUGGUACCAGGGAUACUGAGCAAUCUUUAGUCUCUGAAGAUUGCGAGAUUCAUAAUGUUCCCGAUGAUGCUGACAUCGUGCUUUAAAUGUAGUUCUCCUGUGCUGACUGAAACGUGCAUGUUUACAGCAGUUAACGUGCAAGAAACUAGUCUUGCACAGUGGGAUAAUGGAGUGACAGGGUUCAUCACAGUUGAAAACAGCUGUCCGUGUGCACAGGCCAUCCUGAGAUCCUAAAAAGAUUUUCAGAUUUUCAGAAGAAAGAACACGUUGCUCUUAGCAAUACUGUCUAGAACAUUUCUUGCUCCACCUCUUCUUCGACCCUGUCUGUUCCCUGCACGACUCCAGCCAGACAUACAAAAAACCACAAAAGAAAUCCUACUGAGUCCACAUCACACACAUGCACACGCAGCCUCACACACAAGAACACAAAUACCAUAAAACAUCCAUGCACGCAUGCACGUACGAACUAUUUACUCAAUCCUGCAAGAGGAGUGUAGGAUUUAAAUGUAUGUAUGUAAUUUAAAUUUGUAUAAGCUGUAGAUGUUUUUUUUGGUUUGUGGCGACGACUACACGACAAAAAAAAAGUUGUAUGAGUCGGUGGAGGGGGCCCUCCGUGUUCCGGUUACCAGCACCGACCUUUGCAGUGAGCAGCUUCGGUUACGUGCAGCCCGAGUUUUUUCACCCGCGCUGAGGACAAAAGAAAAAAAAAAAAGAAGAAGAAGUUCUGUAAACACACCUAUGUGCAUCUCCGAUAGUUCCUUCACAAUAAAAGCAUCAAGCUGAAUCACCAUUUCAAAGCUUUUAACUUGAAGUAAGAAACGCCGGAAAUGUCUCGUCGGCAUUCACAAUAGCGCUGAGACGUAAACAGUCCUUCACAGCGAAAUGUCUUGAAGGUACAAAGACGAGAGGAGACAGGCGGGAGUUUGUGGCACAACACUGGCACGUGCUGACCGUGACCGAGCACGAGCAGCAUUAGAGUGAUGAUGGGUGUAAAAAAACAAUGAGCACGAUUUUUCACGUAGAUUGCACUGUACACAGUAUUAUAUUAAUGUACAGUAUGCAU
This is a long non-coding RNA of Astatotilapia calliptera (eastern happy), 1733 nucleotides long. The record is from Ensembl. Lineage: Eukaryota; Metazoa; Chordata; Actinopteri; Cichliformes; Cichlidae.